RNAcentral lists this ribosomal RNA (738 nucleotides) under uncultured bacterium. Its description in RNAcentral is "bacterial SSU rRNA". It matches the Rfam family "Bacterial small subunit ribosomal RNA", at positions 62 to 817 of the family's 1533-position model. The record is from RNAcentral.
UCGAUUCGAUUUACCUUCGGGUAUUGAGGAUGGCGGACGGGUGAGUAACGCGUAAGGAACUUGCCUCUUGGUCUGGGACAACUGUUGGAAACGACAGCUAAUACCGGAUAUUAUGAGAUUCUCGCAUGGGAAACUUAUGAAAGCUAUAUGCGCCAAGAGAGAGCCUUGCGUUCCAUUAGCUAGUUGGUGGGGUAACGGCCCACCAAGGCGACGAUGGAUAGCCGGCCUGAGAGGGUGAACGGCCACAAGGGGACUGAGACACGGCCCUUACUCCUACGGGAGGCAGCAGUGGGGAAUAUUGGACAAUGGGCCACAAGCCUGAUCCAGCAAUUCUGUGUGCACGAUGAAGGUCUUCGGAUUGUAAAGUGCUUUCAGUUGGGAAGAAGAAAGUGACGGUACCAACAGAAGAAGCGACGGCUAAAUACGUGCCAGCAGCCGCGGUAAUACGUAUGUCGCAAGCGUUAUCCGGAUUUAUUGGGCGUAAAGCGCGUCUAGGCGGAAAAAUAAGUCUGAUGUUAAAAUGCGGGGCUCAACUCCGUAUUGCGUUGGAAACUGUUUUUCUAGAGUACUGGAGAGGUGGGCGGAACUACAAGUGUAGAGGUGAAAUUCGUAGAUAUUUGUAGGAAUGCCGAUGGAGAAGUCAGCUCACUGGACAGAUACUGACGCUAAAGCGCGAAAGCGUGGGGAGCAAACAGGAUUAGAUACCCUGGUAGUCCACGCCCGUAAACGAUGAUCACU